This 253-nucleotide ribosomal RNA is filed under the name uncultured bacterium. RNAcentral describes it as "partial 16S ribosomal RNA". It matches the Rfam family "Bacterial small subunit ribosomal RNA", at positions 524 to 776 of the family's 1533-position model. The record is from RNAcentral.
UACGGGGGGGGCAAGCGUUGUUCGGAAUUACUGGGCGUAAAGGGCUCGUAGGUGGCCAACUAAGUCAGACGUGAAAUCCCUCGGCUUAACCGGGGAACUGCGUCUGAUACUGGUUGGCUUGAAUCCGGGAGAGGGAUGUGGAAUUCCAGGUGUAGCGGUGAAAUGCGUAGAUAUCUGGAGGAACACCGGUGGCGAAGGCGGCAUCCUGGACCGGUAUUGACGCUGAGGAGCGAAAGCCAGGGGAGCAAACGGG